This 416-nucleotide ribosomal RNA is filed under the name uncultured Singulisphaera sp. RNAcentral describes it as "bacterial SSU rRNA". It matches the Rfam family "Bacterial small subunit ribosomal RNA", at positions 355 to 774 of the family's 1533-position model. The record is from RNAcentral. Lineage: Bacteria; Pseudomonadati; Planctomycetota; Planctomycetia; Isosphaerales; Isosphaeraceae.
UCGAGAAUCUUCGGCAAUGGGCGCAAGCCUGACCGAGCGACGCCGCGUGGAGGACGAAGGCCUUCGGGUUGUAAACUCCUGUCGAGGGGGAAGAAGGCCCCGCGAGGGGCUUGACUGAUCCCUGGAGGAAGCACGGGCUAAGUUCGUGCCAGCAGCCGCGGUAAGACGAACCGUGCGAACGUUAUUCGGAAUCACUGGGCUUAAAGCGCGUGUAGGCGGGAGGGCACGUCCGUCGCUGAAAUCCCCCGGCUCAACCGGGGAACGGGCGCGGAUACGACCUUCCUGGAGGGGCGUAGGGGGACCUGGAACUUCCGGUGGAGCGGUGAAAUGCGUUGAGAUCGGAAGGAACGCCCGUGGCGAAAGCGAGGUCCUGGACGCCUACUGACGCUGAGACGCGAAAGCCAGGGGAGCGAACG